Molecule: non-coding RNA, 73 nt
Organism: Perkinsus marinus ATCC 50983
Lineage: Eukaryota; Perkinsozoa; Perkinsida; Perkinsidae
Source: Rfam
GGUCUCGUGGCCUAAUGGAUAAGGCGUUGAUCUUCGGAACUAAAGAUUGUGGGUUCAAGUCCCACCGAGAUCG